UGAUCUGCUAAGAUGCCAGAA
This 21-nucleotide non-coding RNA is filed under the name Mus musculus (house mouse). Lineage: Eukaryota; Metazoa; Chordata; Mammalia; Rodentia; Muridae. The record is from RNAcentral.